AUUACUAGCAUUGGAGACAAGGAUAAUAGUUUGUUUGAAAGAGAAAAGAACAGGCUUUGAAGUAAGCCUAAAUGCGUUUAACUAGAAAUAGUAUUUCGAAAGUUAUUAAGCACAAAAGAUGAAUUGCGUUUAUUUUGAUACACCUUGUAGAGCUGGGAAAUACUUGUAAAUGGUUGAAGUACAUGCAUGAAGAAAAUUAACAUUCAUUUCUCUCAUAGCGGAGUGGGACCGAAAAAGAAAAUAAUUCGUCAGGCCUUAUUUUUUUCUGAUUCGAGCCCUGCUUGCCAUGGCCAAUAUUAAUAACAAUUAAUUAUAUAAGAUACAGUAUAGUAUGUAUUGUGUUAAAAAUAUAUAGUAGAGAAUUAACCAUUACUGUAGGACCAACUGAUAACGCUUCUUAGGUACGAAGUAAAAAUGCCUAUACAUGCACGAUGCCAACAAAAAAUUGUAUAAAGCUGAUUUAUAUAGACAUCAUUGGAAAGUCAAUUUCAUGGAGAACAAUAUAUCCAAAAUCCGCCUAUAGCUAUACCAUCUCACGCGCGAGUUUUAUAGGGGCAGCAAAUCGCUUUUCUAGAAUUUUUGCCAACUUCAUGCAUGCUGUCCAUAUCUCGGUAAGUUUUACUUCAAAAAUGUAAAACUAUACCAUUCUCCUGAUUAGCUUUUCUUACUUUUUUCCACUGCGGACUGGUACUAUUUAUUUUCACAUUUGAGUAACUUAAACAAUUAUGCUUGUUACCUUAUUAGUGUUUCAUUUUAUAAGGAAUAUUUUGGUGCUCAUGGGGCAAUAAAGCCUAGUUUCCAUUUGGUCGUUAGUUGUCGCUGGCACGACAAGCAGUAGAUGUGAAAUAGUCUAAUAGUUGACCUGCAUCUAAGGACGAAAGCGGACUUCAUUUAUGCAAUGUUCUUUCGUCAAAAUUCAAGAUCUGAUUGGUUAUGUUAGUGAAUAUAUGCUAAUGCGACCUAAAACGACCUAUAAAGAAACUUAUGUAUAUGCAGAUUAUUUGUUAUGAUAUGGAUGAAAUAAAAUUAUUGCUUGCCUCUGCAAAUUCCAUUCCCGGAAUAUAAGUUUGGGAGACCCGCUUUAACAUGAUGCAUGACACAUGUAUCGACAUUCAAUUUAUUCACGAUUUAGUCCCGUUCAGUCACAACCAAUAACAACCAUGCAAGUAUUGUGCCUAAGCAUGCAAAUUCAAAAGCGGCAACCAGUAGAAAUCAGCGAUUUUGCUUAUGCUAACGUCUCGAUAAUGAUAUUAACUGAGGCUAUAAGUCAUUAGAUGCAGGUCAACUAUUAUAAUAAUAGUCUUUUUGUGUGUUAUAUGCAAAUCAUGUCGUGCCAGCGACAACUAACGACCAAAUGGAAACUAGGCUAAAACCGGCGGUCCAUUACGUAAAAACAAACGCAAGCAUGUUAAAACAAAACAGCAAAACUAAUUGAAAAUUUGAAAAUUAUAAUUUAAUUUGUUAUUAAUAAGAUAUCUGCGAAUGGUUUUAAGUGGAAAGGAAGGAAUACAUUGGUAAAUUUUGUUUUCUUCGACCAAAUGUGUACCACGCUGCUAAUAUACAUUUCAAAUCAUGCAUUUCUUGUUUGUUUCGAAUAUAAAUGCCAUAUUACAUAUAAUAAACUUUUUAUUAACUUCGCUUGUUCGGUCUUUACAGAGAAAUAUCAGACCUCGGUCUUUUUGUGAAAACCUCUCCCUACGGAAUCGGUCUGUACAAAAAAAGACCUCGAUCCGAUAUUUCUCUGUAAAGACCUCGCGCUCGGUUAAUAAGAAGUUAAUAUCUGUUUAAUCAUUAUACCUAUACCUCAGUAUAUUUGAUAGUAAACAUAUACUUGUGUCAAGUUGGUUUAAAAAAUUUAUUGUCAUUUCCAUGCAUGUCUCACUCAAAUCUUGAAGAUUAAAAAUCAUAGUCAC
Molecule: long non-coding RNA, 1913 nt
Filed under: Paramuricea clavata
Lineage: Eukaryota; Metazoa; Cnidaria; Anthozoa; Malacalcyonacea; Plexauridae
Source: RNAcentral